GGAGGGGCAGGCAGGGGGGAGCAGCACCAGAGGCGCAGGGGGUGAUUGUCAUGGUUACGCUCUGACAAAACAAAUGGCUCUCUGCUUCUUGCAGGCCACCUAAACAGCUGUAGCCGGGAUGUGGGCAUCCAUCAGGCCAGCUGCCAGGGCGGCAGGCGCUGGGCUUGGGCACCGUAGCCCAGCCCUGGGUACCCCCUCCAGCAGCUCGGGGUGCCGGGAGGCAGCCUCUGGGGCUGCGGAGCAGGAGGGUAUUUGCCCAGUCACAUGUUGCUUCUGGGGCAGGUGCCCGGCGUGUGACUGUCCUCAAAGCCACUGACCAAGUGCGGCGUGUGCCCCCCCUGCUCCUGCCAGCUCUUCUCCCUCUUCCUAUAACCAUACUGGGAGUCGCACAACUGGGCCCAGGACUAGAAGUGGUUCCUUCUACGGGUGCCACUCUGGAGACAGAGAAGGAUGCAAGGUGAGGACAGGCAGCUGGAGUGGAUGAUCCCAACACACUGAGAAAGGAGUCGCUGGUGAGAGCGGCUGGAGGGCAGGAGGUGGGUCCACCUGGUUGGCCUUGUAUGCCCUGUUCCUUGUUCAGAUCCCAUACAGGGGUCUGAGUCAUCAUUAUCUGAGACCUUACAGAUGUGAGGCUGUAGGUUUAAAAAAGAGCACCCUAAUAGAAGACCAUUAAUGAAAUGACCACUUAAAAAGUAGUCUGUGCCUGAACAUCUCUCCUUCCUCAAUGCCAGCAUCCAUCCCUGCUCAUCACUCAAU
RNAcentral lists this long non-coding RNA (756 nucleotides) under Suricata suricatta (meerkat). RNAcentral's name for it is "lncRNA (ENSSSUG00005013201.1)". Lineage: Eukaryota; Metazoa; Chordata; Mammalia; Carnivora; Herpestidae. The record is from RNAcentral.